GCUGAAGGCAGGCACCAAACCGCUGAGCCAUCCAGGGAUCCCCAAGAUUUAAUUUUUAGGCCACUCAAAAGGAUCACCAGAGACAUUUGAACUACGAACAAGAAAAAUCCAUCAGAUUGCUGCUGCCUGCCACCACUCCAUCUGAGGUGCUUCAAACCUGACAUCUAAAAAUCUUCUCACUGGGGACUCACACAGUGAUUGAUAAUCUGCUUCUACCAUUAACUGUUUUUCUUUUGUUUCCAUACAAAUGCCUCUUAUUAAUUACCUGAUUGCUGGCUGAACAAGGCAGAGUCAUAUGGCUAACACCACUUGCUAUACCUAUAUCAACUCCUCCUGGGAAAUAUGGAUCCAAAUAAUAAAAAUCAAACAGCAA
This is a long non-coding RNA of Canis lupus familiaris (dog), 373 nucleotides long. RefSeq lists it as uncharacterized. Lineage: Eukaryota; Metazoa; Chordata; Mammalia; Carnivora; Canidae. The record is from RefSeq and is a predicted model, not a curated record. The transcript has 2 exons.